RNAcentral lists this ribosomal RNA (497 nucleotides) under uncultured bacterium. RNAcentral's name for it is "partial 16S ribosomal RNA". It matches the Rfam family "Bacterial small subunit ribosomal RNA", at positions 28 to 507 of the family's 1533-position model. The record is from RNAcentral.
GAUGAACGCUGGCGGCGUGCCUAAUACAUGCAAGUCGAACGAACAGAUGAGGAGCUUUUUCCUCUGACGUUAUUGGCUGACGAGUGAGUAACACGUAGAUAACCUACCUAUAUGCCUGGGAUAACUUCGAGACACCGGCGCCAAUACCUGAUAAUAUAUUUCACCGCAUGGCUCAAUAGUUAAAGACGGUUUUGCUCUCACUCAUAGAUGGAUCCGCGCCGCAUUAGCUAGUUGGUAAGGUACUGGCUUACCAAGGCAACGCUGCGUAGCCGACCGGAGAGGGUGAUCGGCCACACGGGAACGGAGACCCGGUCCAGCCUCCUACGGGAGGCAGCAGGAGGGAAUCUUCGGAAUGGGGCGAAAGCCUGACGGGGAAAGGCCGGGGGGGGGAGAAAGGUCUUCGGAUCGAAAAACUCUGUUAUUAGGACGAAACGAAUGAGUAAGUAACUAUGACCGUAUUGACGGUACCGAAACAGAAAGCCACGGCUAACUACGUG